GUAAAGAUAAAGAUUUUCAGUUUAAUUAUCUUCAAAAUUCUGUGUGUGGGGAAGUGCCUGGCGGUGGUGGUUGGGCACUUGAGCUUGGAGCUGGCCAGGGCAGUGGAUGGGGAAGAGGAGAUUGCUGCUACUGCUGUCGUUUUGUGUAUGCUACAGCUGCAAAAUUCUGUGUAAGUCAAUCCUAGGCGAGUUCUGUAUUGUUAGCCUUUGUGGUGACUGCUACACGAUCCUGAAAGAAACAAGGAGAAU
Long non-coding RNA from Triticum dicoccoides, 249 nucleotides. RefSeq lists it as uncharacterized. The transcript has 3 exons. The record is from RefSeq and is a predicted model, not a curated record. NCBI's taxonomy places the organism in Eukaryota, Viridiplantae, Streptophyta, Magnoliopsida, Poales, Poaceae.